UACAGAGGGUGCGAGCGUUGUCCGGAAUCACUGGGCGUAAAGGGCGCGUAGGCGGCCCGAUAAGUAGGGGGUGAAAUCUUGCGGCUCAACCGCAAGGCUGCCUUCUAAACUGGCGGGCUGGAGCACGGUAGAGGCAGAUGGAAUUCCCGGUGUAGCGGUGGAAUGCGUAGAGAUCGGGAAGAACACCAGUGGCGAAGGCGGUCUGCUGGGCCGUUGCUGACGCUGAGGCGCGACAGCGUGGGGAGCAAACAGG
RNAcentral lists this ribosomal RNA (253 nucleotides) under uncultured bacterium. Its description in RNAcentral is "partial 16S ribosomal RNA". It matches the Rfam family "Bacterial small subunit ribosomal RNA", at positions 524 to 776 of the family's 1533-position model. The record is from RNAcentral.